RNAcentral lists this long non-coding RNA (1372 nucleotides) under Equus asinus (donkey). RNAcentral's name for it is "lncRNA (ENSEASG00005035154.1)". The record is from RNAcentral. Lineage: Eukaryota; Metazoa; Chordata; Mammalia; Perissodactyla; Equidae.
CAUUCAUUUAUUUUUCAUUCAUCAAAUAUUCACUGAGUAUUGACUUUACCAAGCAAUAGAGAUGUGGAGAAGACAGGCAUUAACCAAAAGCACACAAGCAAAUAUCUAAUUACCAAUUAGGACUGUGUUAUGAUGGGAAAAAAAACGAGAUCCCAGGGGAGACAAUGGGGAGGGGUGUAUAAAGUGCGCUGGGGGAAGGGUUAGGAAGGAAUUUCUGAGGAAGUGCUAUUUAAGGAGAAACCCACAAGAAUAGUUAAGAGCAAAUGGAAUCUUUCAAUAGAAUUUUGAGUGAGUCAUGGGAUCUUGGAACCCCAGGACGAGGCUCUCACUGUUACAGAAUCCUAAUCUCAUAGAAGCUUGAAACAAACACUCACAGACUCUUCGACAGUAAAUGGAAUCUUCGAAUGGUAGAGGCUCAGAGGCUUCACAUGCAAGGACAAAGAGAAUCUUACCAGAUCAUUUAGUCCCAUCCCCGUCUCUCUACUAUUGUACAGAUAGGGGUUAAGGUAAACUCUUGGCUUGACUUUGCUGGGAAGAGGAGCUGCCUGGAAGGUCAGGAGCACACUCUCACGUUCAAAGAAGCCUUCUGAAGACCCAAAUGUGCCGUUAAACCCAAAAGAAGUGAGUUUGUUUAAGGGAUCCAGGACACAGGAUGGGGUCAGGAAACCUGAGUUCCAGUCUGAGUGCAGGCACUAAACAGCCGUGGUACGCAGGCCACGUCAUGGAGCCUCUGUGGGUCCCAGUUCCACGUCUUGUAGGUGGGAUGACAGUGUCCAGCUCAGCUGUGAAGAGAUAAUGCGUGCAAACAUGUUUUGCAAUUUACGAAACACGUGUGAUGGUUCUAAGGUUCAAUGGUUUCUUUUCGACCUUGUGAGAUUGUGGGUUGAUUUCCUCUCACUGGAGGGCAAUUUGGCAAUAUUUAUCAAAAGACUUAAAAACCACACAUUACUAUUUUAUGUGGAAUUCAAGUUUUAGAAAACAAUCUCAAAGCUAUGCUGAAAAAAUCAGAAACAAUCUAAAUGUCCAACAAUAGGCAAUUAGAUAAGUAAGUUAUACUAUUACUAUAUAGGAGAAUUUGAUAGUUAUCUUAAAUGUUUUGAAGAAGAAUAUUUAAUCACAUGAAAAGAUGUUCACAAUAAAUUAAGGUUUAUAAAAGAGAAAAUAAUUUUGCAAUAAGUUCCAAUUUUUUUGCAAAGAAAAAUGUAAGUGUGUGGCACAUAAGUGUUCCAUAAAUGUUGCUAUUAUUAUUAUUAUCGUUGUUGUGUCAUAUAAUAAAAGAAUGACGAGUUAAUAUAGUGUUAAUGUAGUCUAUCUCUGGAUUGUAGGAUUAUGGCUUUAAAUUUUUUUCAUCUUUUGAGUAUCUAUAAUAAAC